CGGAACGGGUGAGUAACGCGUGAGGAACCUGCCUCAAAGAGGGGGGAAACAGUUGGAAACGACUGCUAAUACCGCAUAAGCCCACAGGUCGGCAUCGACCAGAGGGAAAAGGAGCAAUCCGCUUUGAGAUGGCCUCGCGUCCGAUUAGCUAGUUGGUGAGGUAAUGGCCCACCAAGGCAACGAUCGGUAGCCGGACUGAGAGGUUGAACGGCCACAUUGGGACUGAGACACGGCCCAG
RNAcentral lists this ribosomal RNA (238 nucleotides) under uncultured bacterium. RNAcentral's name for it is "partial 16S ribosomal RNA". It matches the Rfam family "Bacterial small subunit ribosomal RNA", at positions 100 to 334 of the family's 1533-position model. The record is from RNAcentral.